AUACACACACUGCGCAUGCGCAACACUCCUGAUGAGCAGUCAUAGAUAUGUACACUAGAUGUCGCCAUGGCUACGGCAGUAACAUUGGAACGAAUGCGUCAAUAGAGCCGCCAUCUUGGUACAGGGGACCCACACUCCUCUUAAUGCAUCAGCGUCAAUGUAGGCAAAGGGAAAUAAAAUCACCAUAACGAUUUAUGGUGAUAUUAUUUACACUGAUGAAACAGGACCAAACUCGGGUCCAGUGAGAGCAGCACGGGAUCCACAUCGGGAUCGGUGUGUUUUGAAUAAUAAAGGAAGAAGAAAAGAAAAGAAGAAAGAAAGAAAGAAUAAAAAACAUGUUUCUUAAUGUUUCAUUCUGAUGAUUGAUGUGAACAUGACCUGAGUAUACAGUCAGUAGCAGCUAUUGCUGUGCAGCGGCAGAGUUAAGACGGGAUCUGAUGACUUGUUUCUAGACUUUCUGAAAUGGUUGAGAUGUCUCUGUACACUGUACUCUCUCAAGACUCCAGCUUUGGACCACACACUUGUUUUUGAGUCACAGAUCCUCACCAGCCCAUACGGGACGUCCAACUGAACUCAACUUCAAUGGAUUUACAUGAAGGCCACAUUCUUACUGGCAGAAGAGUAAGAAAGUCCCAUGCUUUAGAGGUACAUCAACCCUGCAUACAGUGGAGGGACAAAUCCAGACUUCCUGCCUACAUCCAGAUCACCUGCUCUGGUCAAUGGGUUGAUCUCAGAGUCUUUCUAUACCCAGUGUGCACUUAGCAAUAGUGUGACAAGCGGAUGGCACUUGACCUCGGUUUCAUUAAGGACAUGGUCGAGGUUCCGUCAAAACUAGGACAUAUUGUAAAUCUACUAAAUAAAGUAAUAAAGAAGAAGACAGAAGCUUAGACUUUAAUCACAAACAUGGCACGUUUAUUAUAAAUUGAGAGACAUUACUAACAUGCAGAGUAUAAACAGAGCAUUGAUUCAUAACACUAUGAAUGACUUCAUGAUGCUCUAAUGGAACACAAAAAAACAUCUUUUGAAAGCUUGUAGAAUGUUUUAUUUAUUAACA
Tachysurus fulvidraco (yellow catfish) is the source of this 1054-nucleotide long non-coding RNA. RefSeq lists it as uncharacterized. The record is from RefSeq and is a predicted model, not a curated record. Lineage: Eukaryota; Metazoa; Chordata; Actinopteri; Siluriformes; Bagridae. The transcript is spliced from 2 exons.